This 1354-nucleotide ribosomal RNA is filed under the name Staphylococcus capitis. RNAcentral's name for it is "bacterial SSU rRNA". It matches the Rfam family "Bacterial small subunit ribosomal RNA", at positions 91 to 1434 of the family's 1533-position model. The record is from RNAcentral. Lineage: Bacteria; Bacillati; Bacillota; Bacilli; Caryophanales; Staphylococcaceae.
GUUAGCGGCGGACGGGUGAGUAACACGUGGAUAACCUACCUAUAAGACUGGGAUAACUUCGGGAAACCGGAGCUAAUACCGGAUAACAUGUUGAACCGCNNGUUCAACAGUGAAAGACGGUCUUGCUGUCACUUAUAGAUGGAUCCGCGCCGCNNAGCUAGUUGGUAAGGUAACGGCUUACCAAGGCAACGAUGCGUAGCCGACCUGAGAGGGUGAUCGGCCACACUGGAACUGAGACACGGUCCAGACUCCUACGGGAGGCAGCAGUAGGGAAUCUUCCGCAAUGGGCGAAAGCCUGACGGAGCAACGCCGCGUGAGUGAAGAAGGUCUUCGGAUCGUAAAACUCUGUUAUUAGGGAAGAACAAAUGUGUAAGUAACUAUGCACGUCUUGACGGUACCUAAUCAGAAAGCCACGGCUAACUACGUGCCAGCAGCCGCGGUAAUACGUAGGUGGCAAGCGUUAUCCGGAAUUAUUGGGCGUAAAGCGCGCGUAGGCGGUUUUUUAAGUCUGAUGUGAAAGCCCACGGCUCAACCGUGGAGGGUCAUUGGAAACUGGAAAACUUGAGUGCAGAAGAGGAAAGUGGAAUUCCAUGUGUAGCGGUGAAAUGCGCAGAGAUAUGGAGGAACACCAGUGGCGAAGGCGACUUUCUGGUCUGUAACUGACGCUGAUGUGCGAAAGCGUGGGGAUCAAACAGGAUUAGAUACCCUGGUAGUCCACGCCGUAAACGAUGAGUGCUAAGUGUUAGGGGGUUUCCGCCCCUUAGUGCUGCAGCUAACGCAUUAAGCACUCCGCCUGGGGAGUACGACCGCAAGGUUGAAACUCAAAGGAAUUGACGGGGACCCGCACNGCGGUGGANCNUGUGGUUUANUUCGAAGCAACGCGAAGAACCUUACCAAAUCUUGACAUCCUCUGACCCCUCNAGAGAUAGAGUUUUCCCCUUCGGGGGACAGAGUGACAGGUGGUGCAUGGUUGUCGUCAGCUCGUGUCGUGAGAUGUUGGGUUAAGUCCCGCAACGAGCGCAACCCUUAAGCUUAGUUGCCAUCAUUAAGUUGGGCACUCUAAGUUGACUGCCGGUGACAAACCGGAGGAAGGUGGGGAUGACGUCAAAUCAUCAUGCCCCUUAUGAUUUGGGCUACACACGUGCUACAAUGGACAAUACAAAGGGUAGCGAAACCGCGAGGUCAAGCAAAUCCCAUAAAGUUGUUCUCAGUUCGGAUUGUAGUCUGCAACUCGACUACAUGAAGCUGGAAUCGCUAGUAAUCGUAGAUCAGCAUGCUACGGUGAAUACGUUCCCGGGUCUUGUACACACCGCCCGUCACACCACGAGAGUUUGUAACACCCGAAGCCGGUGGA